Molecule: ribosomal RNA, 465 nt
Filed under: Vreelandella stevensii
Lineage: Bacteria; Pseudomonadati; Pseudomonadota; Gammaproteobacteria; Oceanospirillales; Halomonadaceae
Description: partial 16S ribosomal RNA
Rfam family: Bacterial small subunit ribosomal RNA
Source: RNAcentral
CCUACGGGAGGCAGCAGUGGGGAAUAUUGGACAAUGGGCGAAAGCCUGAUCCAGCCAUGCCGCGUGUGUGAAGAAGGCCUUCGGGUUGUAAAGCACUUUCAGUGGGGAAGAAAGCCUUGGGGCUAAUACCCUCGAGGAAGGACAUCACCCACAGAAGAAGCACCGGCUAACUCCGUGCCAGCAGCCGCGGUAAUACGGAGGGUGCGAGCGUUAAUCGGAAUUACUGGGCGUAAAGCGCGCGUAGGCGGUCUGAUAAGCCGGUUGUGAAAGCCCCGGGCUCAACCUGGGAACGGCAUCCGGAACUGUCAGGCUAGAGUGCAGGAGAGGAAGGUAGAAUUCCCGGUGUAGCGGUGAAAUGCGUAGAGAUCGGGAGGAGUACCAGUGGCGAAGGCGGCCUUCUGGACUGACACUGACGCUGAGGUGCGAAAGCGUGGGUAGCAAACAGGAUUAGAUACCCUAGUAGUC